RNAcentral lists this ribosomal RNA (332 nucleotides) under uncultured eukaryote. RNAcentral's name for it is "partial 18S ribosomal RNA". It matches the Rfam family "Eukaryotic small subunit ribosomal RNA", at positions 1470 to 1796 of the family's 1831-position model. The record is from RNAcentral.
CCCUUAGAUGUUCUGGGCUGCACACGUGCUACACUGGCAGGUUCAGCGAGCUUCAUGCCCUGAUCUGAAAGGAAUGGGAAAUCUUUUCAAAACCUGCCGUGCUUGGGAUAGAUGUUUGCAAUUAUUCAUCUUCAACGAGGAUUGCCUUGUAAGCGCACGUCAUCAGCGUGCAUUGAAUACGACCCUGUAUUCUGUACACACCGCCCGUCGCUCCUACCGAUUGAAGUUUUCGGUGAGUUGACAGGAGGAUUUUUUUGAAACUGGUUCGCCAGUGGAUUUUAGAUCCAAAUGUCAACGAAUCGAUGGCCUUAGAGGAAGGAGAAGUCGUAACA